Molecule: transfer RNA, 72 nt
Filed under: Camelus bactrianus (Bactrian camel)
Lineage: Eukaryota; Metazoa; Chordata; Mammalia; Artiodactyla; Camelidae
Also listed under: 2 other names
Rfam family: tRNA
About the family: Transfer RNA (tRNA) molecules are approximately 80 nucleotides in length.
Source: Rfam by way of RNAcentral
GAGGGUAUAGCUCAGUAGUAGAGUGUGUGCUUAGCAUGCUUGAGGUCCUGGGUUCAAUUCCCAGUACCUCCA